Non-coding RNA from Drosophila kikkawai, 217 nucleotides. Lineage: Eukaryota; Metazoa; Arthropoda; Insecta; Diptera; Drosophilidae. The record is from RefSeq and is a predicted model, not a curated record.
GCAUGGUGAACUUUAUAAAACCAUUGUAUCUUGGAACAGAACGAGAGUUUGCUAAUUUAUACGCAAAUCCUAUAAAAAACGGUCAGCAUAAAGACUCAAGUAAAAAAGAUAUUACAAUUAUGAAACAACGAUCGUAUGUGCUUCACAAAAAACUAUCCAAAUUUGUUCAGGUUACGGGCUUCGUGAGUUUUGCAGCAAAGAAAAUUCAGGAAAAAUU